Molecule: ribosomal RNA, 505 nt
Filed under: uncultured bacterium
Lineage: Bacteria
Description: partial 16S ribosomal RNA
Rfam family: Bacterial small subunit ribosomal RNA
Source: RNAcentral
GACGAACGCUGGCGGCGUGCCUAAUACAUGCAAGUAGAACGCACAGUUUAUACCGUAGCUUGCUCCACCAUAGACUGUGAGUUGCGAAUGUGUGAGUAACGCGUAGGUAACCUGCCUGGUAGCGGGGGAUAACUAUUUGAAACGAUAGCUAAUACCGCAUAAUAUUGAUUAUUGCAUGAUAAUUGAUUGAAAUAUGCUAUUGCAUCACUAUCACCUGUUCCUUCUUUGUAUUAGCUAGUAGGUGAGGUAACGGCUCACCUAGGCGACGAUACAUAGCCGACCUGAGAGGGUGAUCGGCCACACUGGGACUGAGACACGGCCCAGACUCCUACGGGAGGCAGCAGUAGGGAAUCUUCGGCAAUGGACGAAAGUCUGACCGAGCAACGCCGCGUGAGUGAAGAAGGUUUUCGGAUCGUAAAGCUCUGUUGUAAGAGAAGAACGGGUGUGAGAGUGGAAAGUUCACACUGUGACGGUAUCUUACCAGAAAGGGACGGCUAACUACGUG